RNAcentral lists this small nuclear RNA (95 nucleotides) under Sciurus vulgaris (Eurasian red squirrel). The record is from RNAcentral. Lineage: Eukaryota; Metazoa; Chordata; Mammalia; Rodentia; Sciuridae.
GUGCUCGCUUCGGCAGCACAUAUACUAAAAUUGGAACGAUACAGAGAAGAUUAGCAUGGCCCCUGCACAAUGAUAAUGGGAACUACCUCUUUCUU